Molecule: ribosomal RNA, 280 nt
Filed under: uncultured Eubacteriales bacterium
Lineage: Bacteria; Bacillati; Bacillota; Clostridia; Eubacteriales
Description: uncultured Clostridiales bacterium partial 16S ribosomal RNA
Rfam family: Bacterial small subunit ribosomal RNA
Source: RNAcentral
AGGCGGAAGUUUUCGGAUGGAAGCUAGAUUGACUGAGUGGCGGACGGGUGAGUAACGCGUGGGUAACCUGCCUCGCACUGGGGGACAACAGUUAGAAAUGACUGCUAAUACCGCAUAAGCGCACAGGACCGCAUGGUCCGGUGUGAAAAACUCCGGUGGUGUGAGAUGGACCCGCGUUUGAUUAGCUAGUUGGUGGGGUAACGGCCUACCAAGGCGACGAUCAAUAGCCGACCUGAGAGACCGACCGGCCACAUUGGGACUGAGAUACGGCCCAGACUCC